UUUAUAGAUCUAACAUUGUUGGGUUGAUGUUUAGACGAGUUGUAUAUACAUUAUGUACACAGCCAUGUAUCACCAUCAUUGAUGGCGAUCCGAUGGAUACAUCUGUUGUAGGGUUGUCACUGACUCAGACGUACUUAUGAAUAUAAUUAUUUUCUGUGACUGUAUCUUACAUUAAUUUGUAGGAUCCUUUACUAUAGAUAAUUUAGCUGAUCUGUAACAAUAAC
Molecule: long non-coding RNA, 224 nt
Filed under: Mytilus galloprovincialis (Mediterranean mussel)
Lineage: Eukaryota; Metazoa; Mollusca; Bivalvia; Mytilida; Mytilidae
Source: RNAcentral